GGGUGUGGGGCGAGACCAGAAGGCGAGAGAGCAACGCUUAGUGCUGCGAGUCAGUGUUAAGCGUUGGGUUUUGGCCCGACAGCUAUAUAUGUUCUUUAACAAUUUGGAAGAAGCACAACGU
This 121-nucleotide unclassified non-coding RNA is filed under the name Bordetella holmesii. Its description in RNAcentral is "partial 16S-23S ribosomal RNA intergenic spacer". The record is from RNAcentral. Lineage: Bacteria; Pseudomonadati; Pseudomonadota; Betaproteobacteria; Burkholderiales; Alcaligenaceae.